Molecule: microRNA precursor, 55 nt
Filed under: Mus musculus (house mouse)
Lineage: Eukaryota; Metazoa; Chordata; Mammalia; Rodentia; Muridae
Also listed under: 1 other name
Description: Mmu-Mir-185_pre stem-loop
Rfam family: mir-185 microRNA precursor family
Source: RNAcentral
UGGAGAGAAAGGCAGUUCCUGAUGGUCCCCUCCCAGGGGCUGGCUUUCCUCUGGU